This is a long non-coding RNA of Echinops telfairi (small Madagascar hedgehog), 514 nucleotides long. RefSeq lists it as uncharacterized. The transcript is spliced from 3 exons. Lineage: Eukaryota; Metazoa; Chordata; Mammalia; Afrosoricida; Tenrecidae. The record is from RefSeq and is a predicted model, not a curated record.
AAGGACUAGACCACAGCCAACCAUUCUAAUCAAAGCCACAAUCGAUGGAUCCUACUGGAAUGAGGUGCUGCCACGGCGCGUGUGCUGGCCCCGUGGUGAAGGACACUAGAGCGCUGGCAAUGGCACCCCCAGCACAGAACGCCUGAGAACGACGAGACAAUUCAGGAAAUGUCGCCAAUAAUCCUCUGGGACGAUCUGGACAGAUCAUCAAACCCAACUUGCUGUGUCGACGUUCACCUCGAGCCCAAGAAAACAGCCUUUUUUUCCCCAGAGAAGAAUCAUUGCAGUGGGCACCAGGUCUGAAGCGAGCUUGUCCUGAAGAUUUGCCUGAUGCAAUACGUCCUUUGAGCUAGCAAGGACGGGGUCAGGUGCUAGUCACAGCACCUCUGUGUAGAACAGAAUAAAAUGCUGCCGGUGCUGUGCCACCCUCCGCCGUCACUGUGAUGUUGGAGCUCACCGUUGUGGCCACUGUGUCCAUCCGCCGCAUUGAAGGUCUUCUCCUCUCUCCACGAUC